This 377-nucleotide ribosomal RNA is filed under the name uncultured bacterium. RNAcentral's name for it is "bacterial SSU rRNA". It matches the Rfam family "Bacterial small subunit ribosomal RNA", at positions 521 to 896 of the family's 1533-position model. The record is from RNAcentral.
UAAGACAGAGGUGCCAAGCGUUAGGCGGAAUCACUGGGCUUAAAGCGUGUGUAGGCGGAAUGGUAAGUACCUUGUGAAAUCCCACGGCUCAACCGUGGAACUGCUUGGUAUACUGCUUUUCUUGAGCCACUUAGGGGCUACCGGAACAAAUGGUGGAGCGGUGAAAUGCGUAGAUAUCAUUUGGAACGCCAAUGGUGAAAACAGGUAGCUGGGAGUGUGCUGACGCUGAGACACGAAAGCCAGGGGAGCGAACGGGAUUAGAUACCCCGGUAGUCCUGGCCGUAAACGAUGUCGACUAGAUCGUGGUGGCUCUGACGCCUUCACGGUCGAAGCAAAAGUGCUAAGUCGACCGCCUGGGAAGUACGGUCGCAAGGCUA